RNAcentral lists this ribosomal RNA (497 nucleotides) under uncultured bacterium. RNAcentral's name for it is "partial 16S ribosomal RNA". It matches the Rfam family "Bacterial small subunit ribosomal RNA", at positions 28 to 507 of the family's 1533-position model. The record is from RNAcentral.
GAUGAACGCUGGCGGCGUGCCUAAUACAUGCCAGUCGAGCGAACAGACGAGGAGCUUGCUCCUCUGACGUUAGCGGCGGACGGGUGAGUAACACGUGGAUAACCUACCUAUAAGACUGGGAUAACUUCGGGAAACCGGAGCUAAUACCGGAUAAUAUAUUGAACCGCAUGGUUCAAUAGUGAAAGACGGUUUUGCUGUCACUUAUAGAUGGAUCCGCGCCGCAUUAUCUAGUUGGUAAGGUAACGGCUUACCAAGGCAACGAUGCGUAGCCGACCUGAGAGGGUGAUCGGCCACCCUGGAACUGAACCAAGGUCAAGACUCCUACGGGACGCAGCAGUAGGGAAUCUUCCGCAAUGGGGGAAAGCUUGACGCAGCAGCGCCGCGUGAGUGAUGAAGGUCUUCGGAUCGUAAAAAUCUGUUAUUAGGGAAGAACAAAUGUGUACGUAACUAUGCACGUCUUGACGGUACCUAAUAAGAAAGCCACGGCUAACUACGUG